GGGUUGUGAGGUUAAGCGACUAAGCGUACACGGUGGAUGCCCUGGCAGUCAGAGGCGAUGAAGGACGUGCUAAUCUGCGAUAAGCGCCGGUAAGGUGAUAUGAACCGUUAUAACCGGCGAUUUCCGAAUGGGGAAACCCAGUGUGACUCGUCACACUAUCAUUAACUGAAUCCAUAGGUUAAUGAGGCGAACCGGGGGAACUGAAACAUCUAAGUACCCCGAGGAAAAGAAAUCAACCGAGAUUCCCCCAGUAGCGGCGAGCGAACGGGGAGGAGCCCAGAGCCUGAAUCAGCAUGUGUGUUAGUGGAAGCGUCUGGAAAGGCGCGCGAUACAGGGUGACAGCCCCGUACACAAAAGCGCAUGUGUUGUGAGCUCGAUGAGUAGGGCGGGACACGUGGUAUCCUGUCUGAAUAUGGGGGGACCAUCCUCCAAGGCUAAAUACUCCUGACUGACCGAUAGUGAACCAGUACCGUGAGGGAAAGGCGAAAAGAACCCCGGCGAGGGGAGUGAAAAAGAACCUGAAACCGUGUACGUACAAGCAGUGGGAGCCCCACCACUAAGCCAGUGGUGAACUCCACAUACGCAUCCUUUGCUGAAGGUGCGGUUAACGGAGCGCAAGCGACGUUCAACCUCAAAAGAAGCAGAGGGGGCUUAGUGGUGGGGUGACUGCGUACCUUUUGUAUAAUGGGUCAGCGACUUAUAUUCUGUAGCAAGGUUAACCGCAUAGGGGAGCCGGAGGGAAACCGAGUCUUAAUUGGGCGUUAAGUUGCAGGGUAUAGACC
Molecule: ribosomal RNA, 782 nt
Filed under: Salmonella enterica subsp. enterica serovar Kentucky
Lineage: Bacteria; Pseudomonadati; Pseudomonadota; Gammaproteobacteria; Enterobacterales; Enterobacteriaceae
Description: partial 23S ribosomal RNA
Rfam family: Bacterial large subunit ribosomal RNA
Source: RNAcentral